RNAcentral lists this ribosomal RNA (196 nucleotides) under uncultured bacterium. RNAcentral's name for it is "partial 16S ribosomal RNA". It matches the Rfam family "Bacterial small subunit ribosomal RNA", at positions 328 to 539 of the family's 1533-position model. The record is from RNAcentral.
ACGCUCGACACCUACGGAGGCAGCAGUGAGGGAUAUUCGGCAAUGGGGGAAACCCUGACCGAGCAACGCCGCGUGAGGGAAGACGGUUUUCGGAUUGUAAACCUCUGUCCUCUGUGAAGAUAGUGACGGUAGCAGAGGAGGAAGCUCCGGCUAACUACGUGCAGCAGCCGCGGUAAUCUGAGCGGGCUGGCAAGGC